Molecule: ribosomal RNA, 500 nt
Filed under: uncultured bacterium
Lineage: Bacteria
Description: partial 16S ribosomal RNA
Rfam family: Bacterial small subunit ribosomal RNA
Source: RNAcentral
AUUGAACGCUGGCGGCAUGCCUUACACAUGCAAGUCGAACGGCAGCACGGGAGCAAUCCUGGUGGCGAGUGGCGAACGGGUGAGUAAAGUAUCGGAACGUGCCCAGUCGUGGGGGAUAACGUAGCGAAGGUUACGCUAAUACCGCAUACGAUCUAUGGAUGAAAGCGGGGGAUCGCAAGACCUCGCGCGAUUGGAGCGGCCGAUAUCAGAUUAGGUAGUUGGUGGGGUAAAGGCUCACCAAGCCGACGAUCUGUAGCUGGUCUGAGAGGACGACCAGCCACACGGGGACUGAGACACGGCCCAGACUCCUAGGGGAGGCAGCAGUGGGGAAUUUUGGACAAUGGGCGAAAGCCUGAUCCAGCCAUGCCGCGUGCAGGAUGAAGGCCUUCGGGUUGUAAACUGCUUUUGUACGGAACGAAAAGGUUUGGCCUAAUAAGCUGAGCUCAUGACGGUACCGUAAGAAUAAGCACCGGCUAACUACGUGCCAGCCGCCGCCGUAA